GGGUUUAGAACGUCGUGAGACAGUUCGGUCCCUAUCUGCCGUGGGCGCUGGAGAAUUGAGGGGGGCUGCUCCUAGUACGAGAGGACCGGAGUGGACGCAUCACUGGUGUUCGGGUUGUCAUGCCAAUGGCACUGCCCGGUAGCUAAAUGCGGAAGAGAUAAGUGCUGAAAGCAUCUAAGCACGAAACUUGCCCCGAGAUGAGUUCUCCCUGAGACUAUAAGUCUCCUGAAGGAACGUUAAAGACGAUGACGUUGAUAGGCCGGGUGUGUAAGCGCAGCGAUGCGUUGAGCUAACCGGUACUAAUGAACCGUGAGGCUUAACCUUACAACGCCGAAG
This 336-nucleotide ribosomal RNA is filed under the name Klebsiella pneumoniae. RNAcentral's name for it is "bacterial LSU rRNA". It matches the Rfam family "Bacterial large subunit ribosomal RNA", at positions 2607 to 2925 of the family's 2925-position model. The record is from RNAcentral. Lineage: Bacteria; Pseudomonadati; Pseudomonadota; Gammaproteobacteria; Enterobacterales; Enterobacteriaceae.